RNAcentral lists this ribosomal RNA (797 nucleotides) under Streptomyces sp. KB31. RNAcentral's name for it is "bacterial SSU rRNA". It matches the Rfam family "Bacterial small subunit ribosomal RNA", at positions 50 to 830 of the family's 1533-position model. The record is from RNAcentral. Lineage: Bacteria; Bacillati; Actinomycetota; Actinomycetes; Kitasatosporales; Streptomycetaceae.
UAUACAUGCAAGUCGAGCGACGGAUAAGGAGCUUGCUCCUUUGAAGUUAGCGGCGGACGGGUGAGUAACACGUGGGUAACCUACCUAUAAGACUGGAAUAACUUCGGGAAACCGGAGCUAAUGCCGGAUAACAUAUAGAACCGCAUGGUUCUAUAGUGAAAGAUGGUUUUGCUAUCACUUAUAGAUGGACCCGCGCCGUAUUAGCUAGUUGGUAAGGUAAUGGCUUACCAAGGCGACGAUACGUAGCCGACCUGAGAGGGUGAUCGGCCACACUGGAACUGAGACACGGUCCAGACUCCUACGGGAGGCAGCAGUAGGGAAUCUUCCGCAAUGGGCGAAAGCCUGACGGAGCAACGCCGCGUGAGUGAUGAAGGUUUUCGGAUCGUAAAACUCUGUUAUUAGGGAAGAACAAAUGCGUAAGUAACUGUGCGCAUCUUGACGGUACCUAAUCAGAAAGCCACGGCUAACUACGUGCCAGCAGCCGCGGUAAUACGUAGGUGGCAAGCGUUAUCCGGAAUUAUUGGGCGUAAAGCGCGCGUAGGCGGUUUCUUAAKUCUGAUGUGAAAGCCCACGGCUCAACCGUGGAGGGUCAUUGGAAACUGGGAAACUUGAGUGCAGAAGAGGAAAGUGGAAUUCCAUGUGUAKCGGUGAAAUGCGCAGAGAUAUGGAGGAACACCAGUGGCGAAGGCGACUUUCUGGUCUGUAACUGACGCUGAUGUGCGAAAGCGUGGGGAUCAAACAGGAUUAGAUACCCUGGUAGUCCACGCCGUAAACGAUGAGUGCUAAGUGUUAGGGGG